This 65-nucleotide transfer RNA is filed under the name Damon diadema. RNAcentral's name for it is "tRNA-Glu". Lineage: Eukaryota; Metazoa; Arthropoda; Arachnida; Amblypygi; Phrynichidae. The record is from RNAcentral.
UUUUCUAUAGUGAAGAGAAUCACAUAACUUUUUCAAAGUUAAAACGUAAUACAUUACUAGAAAUA